GAUGAAGAACGUAGCGAAACGCGAUACGUAAUGUGAAUUGCAGAUUUCAGUGAAUCAUCGAAUCUUUGAACGCACAUUGCGCCCCCUGGUAUUCCGGUGCGCAUGCCUGUCCGAGCGUCAUUGCAACCUUCAAGCGCGGCUUGUGUGUUGGGUCUCGUCCCCCGUGGACGGGCCCGAAAGGCAGUGGCGGCGUCCCGACAUGGUGCCCGAGCGUAUGGGAAUCCUCUUCCGCUCGAAUCGGCCCAUGCGGCGCUGGUCGUAACCAAAUUUUUUACCGGUUGACCUCGGAUCAGGUAGGGAUACCCGCUGAACUUAAGCAUAUCAAUAAGCGGAGGA
Molecule: unclassified non-coding RNA, 336 nt
Filed under: soil metagenome
Description: partial contains 5.8S ribosomal RNA, internal transcribed spacer 2, and large subunit ribosomal RNA
Rfam family: 5.8S ribosomal RNA (bases 1-120)
Source: RNAcentral